This 255-nucleotide ribosomal RNA is filed under the name uncultured Chytridiomycota. Its description in RNAcentral is "partial 18S ribosomal RNA". It matches the Rfam family "Eukaryotic small subunit ribosomal RNA", at positions 624 to 886 of the family's 1831-position model. The record is from RNAcentral. Lineage: Eukaryota; Fungi; Chytridiomycota.
AAGCUCGUAGUUGAAUUUCGAGCUUGACAAACGGUCUUGGCUCUGCCUAGUACUGUUCUGUUGAGCUCUUCCUUCUAGGGAACUAGAGUGCCUUUAAUUGGGUGUUUUAGGGAACUAGGACUUUUACUGUGAAAAAAUUAGAGUGUUCAAAGCAGGCUUACGCUUGAAUACAUUAGCAUGGAAUGAUAGAAUAGGACUUUGGUUCUAUUUUGUUGGUUUCUAAGACCAAAGUAAUGAUUAAUAGGGAUAGUUGGG